UACUUCUUACCUUCAGAAGCUUUUGUAAAUGAUUGAAUGGAUGUGAGAAGCAAUAAACCACUCUGUGCUAUGAUAGAAACCCUAUCUGGUUCCAGUGAAACUGUAUGGAGAGAGUCCUCCGACUCUCACAGUGGAGAACACAAGGCAUAUACAUCACUUAACCCAUGCGGAUGAUGCAGAUGAACUUAAAGAGGACCUCAAGGGAAGCAGGAGGGCAGUGGAGGCUCAAACCUUCCCAGCUGGGUGGACAUAGCUCAGGAGGGAUCCAUGUUAUGAUGUUGUUGCCUUGAGAGUAUCAACAGCUUCAAACAUUAAAAACAUUUGCCUGCAGUGGGGGUCAGUAUUUUGUUUUCUAAGAUUUAUUUCUAAUAUUUUGCAAAUUACCAGAAUGUUGGGGUGAUCUAAGCCUUUGCACCAAGCACUGUAUGUUUUGAAAAAUGUAAAAUACGUGCCUCACAGGCAAAGAUAGAGCACAUCUUGCCACGGUAAUCUGGUGAUUGCUUUCAAACCAUUGCUUUCUACUUCAUUGCACGUAAAUAUGAUUCUCCAAGCAUCUUUGCAUGAAUUUGACAGGAAGAAAAUCACAAGUCUUUCAUGCAAGAACAGCUAAAAGCAAACUAGGAAGGAGCAUCUUGGAGAAAAAGUACAGAUAGGACUCGCUGCCAUAGCAAUGGACCUUAAAGCCUGGGGUGUUCCUAGUGAGUGCAUUCAGCCUGAGAUAUUCUCCUAACUGGCUCAGAAGUAUGAAUAGCCAUCACUGGGUCUGCAUUUGAGACAACUGCAUGUUCUAGUGGGACACUGAAAAUAGAAACCUGACCUUAUUAUGCUGUCUGUAAAUGGUUGCAUACUUUUCUAUUACAAUUAGUAGUUUUGUUGUUUUUAGAUGCUGUGGGUUAACCCCAGCUGAGCCCUACAGAGCUACCACCAAUAGGAUGGGAAAGAAAGGUAGAAAGUGAGAAAACUCCUGGGCUGAGAUAAAGACAACUUAGUAGGUAAAGCAAAACUGCACCUAUAGGCAAAGCAAUACAAGGAAUGCAUUGACUUCUUCCCAUCAGCAACAGAUGUUUAGCCAUUUCCAGAAAAACAGGGUCCAUUGUGUGUAGCGGUUACUUGGGAA
RNAcentral lists this long non-coding RNA (1117 nucleotides) under Coturnix japonica (Japanese quail). RNAcentral describes it as "lncRNA (ENSCJPG00005003243.1)". The record is from RNAcentral. Lineage: Eukaryota; Metazoa; Chordata; Aves; Galliformes; Phasianidae.